This 86-nucleotide transfer RNA is filed under the name Blautia producta. RNAcentral describes it as "tRNA-Ser". It matches the Rfam family "tRNA". Rfam says of the family: Transfer RNA (tRNA) molecules are approximately 80 nucleotides in length. Their secondary structure includes four short double-helical elements and three loops (D, anti-codon, and T loops). The record is from RNAcentral. RNAcentral also lists the same sequence under 3 other names. Lineage: Bacteria; Bacillati; Bacillota; Clostridia; Lachnospirales; Lachnospiraceae.
GGAGACAUAUCGAAGUGGCUGUAACGAGCCGCACUCGAAAUGCGGUUGUCCGCAAGGGCACGUGGGUUCGAAUCCCACUGUCUCCG